GAGUUUGAUCAUGGCUCAGAUUGAACGCUGGCGGCAGGCCUAACACAUGCAAGUCGAGCGGAUGACGGGAGCUUGCUCCUUGAUUCAGCGGCGGACGGGUGAGUAAUGCCUAGGAAUCUGCCUGGUAGUGGGGGACAACGUUUCGAAAGGAACGCUAAUACCGCAUACGUCCUACGGGAGAAAGCAGGGGACCUUCGGGCCUUGCGCUAUCAGAUGAGCCUAGGUCGGAUUAGCUAGUUGGUGGGGUAAUGGCUCACCAAGGCGACGAUCCGUAACUGGUCUGAGAGGAUGAUCAGUCACACUGGAACUGAGACACGGUCCAGACUCCUACGGGAGGCAGCAGUGGGGAAUAUUGGACAAUGGGCGAAAGCCUGAUCCAGCCAUGCCGCGUGUGUGAAGAAGGU
RNAcentral lists this ribosomal RNA (404 nucleotides) under bacterium enrichment culture clone ALO1_GLFRUDD03HJ4X9. RNAcentral's name for it is "bacterial SSU rRNA". It matches the Rfam family "Bacterial small subunit ribosomal RNA", at positions 9 to 415 of the family's 1533-position model. The record is from RNAcentral.